AUGGCAUGGAGGAAGAAGAACGGCGGCGAGUCGUUUUCGCCCGGCGCCUCGCCGUGUCGCGACGACGAGCAGGAGAAGGUCCCUAGAGGGCACGUCCCGAUGGUCACCGGCUGCGGCGCGCGCGUGGUGGUGCCGGUCAGGCUGCUCCGGGACCCUCGCAUCGCUGAGCUCCUAGACAUGGCGGCGCAGCAGUACGGGUACGGCCAGCCGGGCGUGCUGCGGAUCCCGUGCGACGCCGGGCAUUUCCGCCGGAUCGUCGACGGCGCGCUGCACAGGGCCGAAUAG
RNAcentral lists this ribosomal RNA (285 nucleotides) under Triticum aestivum (bread wheat). RNAcentral's name for it is "partial small subunit ribosomal RNA". The record is from RNAcentral. Lineage: Eukaryota; Viridiplantae; Streptophyta; Magnoliopsida; Poales; Poaceae.